Molecule: ribosomal RNA, 205 nt
Filed under: uncultured bacterium
Lineage: Bacteria
Description: partial 16S ribosomal RNA
Source: RNAcentral
GACGAACGCUGGCGGCGUGCUUAACACAUGCAAGUCGAGCGGUAAGGCCCUUUCGGGGUACGACGAGCGGCGGAACGGGUAGGAGUAACAACGUGGGUGGACCUCGCCCUCCAGCUCUGGGAGUAAAGACCGUCGGGAAACCGGGGUACCGUAAUAACCGGAGUAUGACUCCAUGACGCAUGUUGGUUGGGGUGGGAAAGACCUU